GGGAGCUUGCUCCUUGAUUCAGCGGCGGACGGGUGAGUAAUGCCUAGGAAUCUGCCUGGUAGUGGGGGACAACGUUUCGAAAGGAACGCUAAUACCGCAUACGUCCUACGGGAGAAAGCAGGGGACCUUCGGGCCUUGCGCUAUCAGAUGAGCCUAGGUCGGAUUAGCUAGUUGGUGGGGUAAUGGCUCACCAAGGCGACGAUCCGUAACUGGUCUGAGAGGAUGAUCAGUCACACUGGAACUGAGACACGGUCCAGACUCCUACGGGAGGCAGCAGUGGGGAAUAUUGGACAAUGGGCGAAAGCCUGAUCCAGCCAUGCCGCGUGUGUGAAGAAGGUCUUCGGAUUGUAAAGCACUUUAAGUUGGGAGGAAGGGCAGUAAGCUAAUACCUUGCUGUUUUGACGUUACCGACAGAAUAAGCACCGGCUAACUCUGUGCCAGCAGCCGCGGUAAUACAGAGGGUGCAAGCGUUAAUCGGAAUUACUGGGCGUAAAGCGCGCGUAGGUGGUUUGUUAAGUUGGAUGUGAAAGCCCCGGGCUCAACCUGGGAACUGCAUCCAAAACUGGCAAGCUAGAGUACGGUAGAGGGUGGUGGAAUUUCCUGUGUAGCGGUGAAAUGCGUAGAUAUAGGAAGGAACAACCAGUGGCGAAAGCGACCACCUGGACUGAUACUGACACUGAGGUGCGAAAGCGUGGGGGAGCAAACAGGAUUAGAAUACCC
This 720-nucleotide ribosomal RNA is filed under the name Pseudomonas plecoglossicida. RNAcentral's name for it is "bacterial SSU rRNA". It matches the Rfam family "Bacterial small subunit ribosomal RNA", at positions 74 to 787 of the family's 1533-position model. Lineage: Bacteria; Pseudomonadati; Pseudomonadota; Gammaproteobacteria; Pseudomonadales; Pseudomonadaceae. The record is from RNAcentral.